Molecule: ribosomal RNA, 395 nt
Filed under: uncultured bacterium
Lineage: Bacteria
Description: partial 16S ribosomal RNA
Rfam family: Bacterial small subunit ribosomal RNA
Source: RNAcentral
AUACGUAGGGUGCAAGCGUUAAUCGGAAUUACUGGGCGUAAAGCGUGCGCAGGCGGUUUUGUAAGACAGAGGUGAAAUCCCCGGGCUCAACCUGGGAACUGCCUUUGUGACUGCAAGGCUAGAGUGCAGCAGAGGGGGAUGGAAUUCCGCGUGUAGCAGUGAAAUGCGUAGAUAUGCGGAGGAACACCGAUGGCGAAGGCAAUCCCCUGGGCCUGUACUGACGCUCAUGCACGAAAGCGUGGGGAGCAAACAGGAUUAGAUACCCCGGUAGUCCACGCCCUAAACGAUGUCAACUGGUUGUUGGGUCUUCAUUGACUCAGUAACGAAGCUAACGCGUGAAGUUGACCGCCUGGGGAGUACGGCCGCAAGGUUGAAACUCAAAGGAAUUGACGGGG